Molecule: ribosomal RNA, 924 nt
Filed under: Triticum aestivum (bread wheat)
Lineage: Eukaryota; Viridiplantae; Streptophyta; Magnoliopsida; Poales; Poaceae
Description: partial small subunit ribosomal RNA
Source: RNAcentral
AUGGCGUCGAGAUGCGCGGCGAGGCUUCCACACCCGCCGUGCGCGGCGCCGCACCACGGUUGGGCGAGCUCGCGGGUCUCGGCACGCCCGGCGCAAUCCGGCGCGUCAAGAGGGCGUGCCGUCGUGUGCGCCGUCAGCUUCAGGCCAUGUAUCGACAUUCACAAGGGGAAAGUUAAACAGAUUGUUGGCUCUACUCUCCGGGAUGCAUCGGACGAUGGCACGGCACUAGUGACAAACUUUGAAUCAGACAAGUCUCCAGCAGAAUUUGCAAAUAUUUAUAAAGAGGAUGGACUUGUUGGUGGACAUGUAAUAAUGCUUGGCGGAGACCCUGCAAGCCGUUCUGCUGCCCUGGAAGCACUACAUGCAUAUCCUGGUGGUUUGCAAGUUGGAGGUGGAAUAAAUUUGGAGAAUGCAAUGUCAUACCUUAAUGAAGGAGCAAGUCACGUGAUUGUAACUUCUUAUGUGUUUAGUGAUGGCAAAAUGAACAUUGAAAGGCUGACGCAACUUGUCGAGCUUGUUGGGAAAGAAAGGCUUAUUUUGGACCUGAGUUGUCGAAAAAAGGAUGGCAGAUAUGCCAUUGUGACUGACAGAUGGCAGAAGUUCAGUGAUGUCUUUGUGGAUGGGCCAACAUUAGAACGUCUUGCUGCAUAUGCAGAUGAGUUUUUGGUUCAUGGAGUUGAUGUGGAGGGCAAAAGGUUAGGAAUUGAUGAGGAACUCGUGGAGCUACUGGGAAGUCAUUCACCUAUCCCGACAACAUACGCCGGGGGCGUGUCAACGAUGGACGACCUGGAGAGGAUCAAGAAAGCAGGCAAGAGCCGAGUCGAUGUCACUGUCGGGAGCGCCCUAGACAUAUUUGGGGGAGAUUUGCCGUACGAUGAUGUUGUCCGUUGGCACAAGGAGCAAAACCUGGUUAGCAAACGGUGA